CCUACGGGGGGCACCAGUGGGGAAUAUUGCACAAUGGGCGCAAGCCUGAUGCAGCCAUGCCGCGUGUAUGAAGAAGGCCUUCGGGUUGUAAAGUACUUUCAGCGGGGAGGAAGGUGUUGAGGUUAAUAACCUCAGCAAUUGACGUUACCCGCAGAAGAAGCACCGGCUAACUCCGUGCCAUCAGCCGCGGUAAUACGGAGGGUGCAAGCGUUAAUCGGAAUUACUGGGCGUAAAGCGCACGCAGGCGGUCUGUCAAGUCGGAUAUGAAAUCCCCGGGCUCAACCUGGGAACUGCAUUUGAAACUGGCAAGCUAGAGUCUCGUAGAGGGGGGUAGAAUUCCAGGUGUAGCGGUGAAAUGCGUAGAGAUCUGGAGGAAUACCGGCGGCGAAGGCGGCCCCCUGGACGAAGACUGACGCUCAGGUGCGAAAGCGUGGGGAGCAAACAGGAUUAGAUACCCGUGUAGUC
RNAcentral lists this ribosomal RNA (465 nucleotides) under uncultured bacterium. RNAcentral describes it as "bacterial SSU rRNA". It matches the Rfam family "Bacterial small subunit ribosomal RNA", at positions 338 to 795 of the family's 1533-position model. The record is from RNAcentral.